Molecule: ribosomal RNA, 333 nt
Filed under: uncultured Bacillota bacterium
Lineage: Bacteria; Bacillati; Bacillota
Description: bacterial SSU rRNA
Rfam family: Bacterial small subunit ribosomal RNA
Source: RNAcentral
GACGAACGCUGGCGGCGUGCCUAAUACAUGCAAGUCGAGCGAAUCUUUAGGAGCUUGCUUCUAAAGAUUAGCGGCGGACGGGUGAGUAACACGUGGGCAACCUGCCUAUAAGACUGGGAUAACUUCGGGAAACCGGAGCUAAUACCGGAUAAUCCUAUUCCUCUCAUGGGGAAUAGCUGAAAGACGGUUUCGGCUGUCACUUAUAGAUGGGCCCGCGGCGCAUUAGCUAGUUGGUGAGGUAAUGGAUCACCAAGGCAACGAUGCGUAGCCGACCUGAGAGGGUGAUCGGCCACACUGGGACUGGAGACACGGCCCAGACUCCUACGGGAGCUG